Nothobranchius furzeri (turquoise killifish) is the source of this 3676-nucleotide non-coding RNA. The record is from RefSeq and is a predicted model, not a curated record. NCBI's taxonomy places the organism in Eukaryota, Metazoa, Chordata, Actinopteri, Cyprinodontiformes, Nothobranchiidae.
UAUAUAAUAUACAUUUGACAAAAAACAAGGAAACUAAGAAUGACUCAAAAUGAAAAUUUUUUAAAGAUUUAUUUUUCAAAUAAACCAUCUGUUUUAUUUAUCUGCAGAUAAACCAUCAUUUUUAAAGAGCAAGUCACAUCAAAAUCAACCUUUUUUUUAGCUAAUAACAAGUAUAAAUGAGUGUCUACAGGGUUUAUCCUGGCUCAAAUUGAGGCAGAGGUGGUACCAUCCAGACCAUGCGCCAGCACAAGCAUUCUCUGUGCAUUCAACUGCCUCACUUUUUUAAAGGCAAAAUAUUUUUUCGUUACGUGUUCUAAUCUAAGCUUCUGUUGAUUAAUUGAUUAUUCCAUUUGACAAUGUUUCAAGUGAAACAAAACUAGUUUGCUGCUAAAGAAUAUGAAAUAAAACAACAAAAUUAUCAGGCUUAAAUAACAGACUCUUAUUAUAAAAGGCUCAAUGAUAUGCAUUAGAUUGGUGUUGAGUUCCCUCUUUCCCAUCUGAUAUUUAUAGUUAAAUUAUUUUUUAAUAUUUGACCUACAUUUCUGUAACAUUUUAGGUUUGUAUUAAGAACACUCAUCUUAGUCAAAAUAACACAAAUAUAUCCAGUAAAAUAUAAUGCAUUUCAUUAACAUGCAUUUGUAUUGGAAAUGGUAAUAACAUUUAAUUUCUGCUGCUAACCAUGUAACGGUGACAUGUCUAUUAUGUACGGGCUGGCAAUAAUCCAGUUUAAAUUAUGUUCAAAGACAGAAGCGUUUUUGAAUUAUAUACUACAAUGGCUUGUCGUACGUCAUGCGAAUGUGACUCGUAUCUGCAGCGGUUCUGAUCCAUGGCACUGCAGCAUGCAGAAUAAACAGGAUGGUGGGGAUUUUUCAUCUGCUUGCAGAGUUUAGUCUUUCUUAGUUUUACCAUCAUCAUAUAUUUUUCGGUGCGCCACUUGAUUGACUGCUACCCAUUAGCUUUAGCAUUAGCCAGUCUGCGUGUAGCUGCACUUUUGAUCCCAAACUGUGGGCCGGUUCUGCCUUUAUGCCUUUGCUGGUUCCUUUAUUUUCCUCCACUGCAUCCAGAUGACCACACCGUGCGCCAGUAAAAAGCAUUUUUUCUUAUACGUAACUUACUUUUGUUCAAUAAAGUUCUGGGGAAAAUAGUAAUUCAAAGAUGUUGCACCAGUGCUACGUUUAAAAAUUGACAGACAAGCACGGACAGUUUUUUUCGUCGCACUGUACAACCCUGCUCUGAUAUGGAAGAGCCUGGGGGGAAAUCAGGACGUCAAUAGCACCAACCAUAGAUUAGUACCAACUAGCGAGAAAAUACAUUUUUGAUCAUUUUCUGCAGCGGUUUUAGAGCUUUUUGGUGCACCGCUGCUGAUGCAGCGCCCCUGUAGUGGCGCAACGCUGAAACUGCAGUUAAAAUAACAUCCAUUUAGCUGGGGGCAGAGUGAAAUCAGACUGGGGCGGCACAAAAUUAGCUGGAGGCGGCCGCCACGCAAAUUUGAACGCAGGAAAAACCCUGGUCUAAUAGUGUUGUAGACAUGUGUAGUUUUUUUUUUUUUUCAUUUUGACGCAUUUUCUUUGAAAACUCUUCAUUUCUGUCCAAAAACGUCAGUCUAGCGCUAUCUUCAGCUCAUAAGUAUAGAACAAGUUUAUUCUAAGUCUGUUUUAGCCAAUGGCUAACGAGAACGAUGCUACGUAUCCAAGAACAGUACUACGUAGCAGCUCUGUGGCUGUAGGUUAUAAAAUCACCGCGGUCUCAACCAGUCUUGUAGCAGUCGAGGUUUGAAUUAGCCGCAAGUGAGUUGUGCUGUAGUUAGCAUUAGCAUUGAGCCAGAGUCCCAGCUAAACUUCUAGUAUUAUAGUUAUUUAGUUCUAGUAGCUUGGCUGUUAAUAUUGUAGUUAAGUGUAUUUUACAUGUUAUUCUUUCACCAAUUUGAUGGAGUUUGAACUGGGUUAUGCUGGUUUGAAGAGCAUUUCACAAAUCAGUCCAAACCGUUCCAGUAAUUAGCCGGAUCCCGCCGACUGCUGCUUCCUCAAAACGGAGAUUUUGGGCCCAAUUUGAGGUGAGUAAGCUAAAUAAUUACUUUUAACAGCUUCUAAAGAUCGUUCCUUACCUGUAAUUUUGCAGCUAUAUUUGCUAUAUUUAUAAAUGCAAAGUAGGAGAGGCGUGGACGUGGUUCACGUAAUUUAGACAAUCAAUCCACACUGCCGCAGGCUCGAAGCGAGUGUUGUGUGUGUGUGUGUGUUAUAAUGUCACAGACUGGUUCAGGUUAAGUUUUUGUGCCAGUUAAUAAUAUCAGCGCUGAUGCAGAGCAGGAGGGACACUGACGAGCAGCUCCUCUCUCUGCUAAAAAGCUGACCUGGUUCUGGACUGGUGCUGAGUCCGGUUCUCAUUAGAACAUGUCUGAUUCUGGACACUGAGUUAGCUCUGAGUGCAGUCAGAUCACUCACCAGCCAUGUUAUAAAGCACAUACAGUAUCUUAGACAGGUUGUUUUGUACACGAUCUAAGUUAAUAAACUCCCACAACAACGUGAUGUUAUUAUAUUUUUCAAGCUAAAUCUGCCCAAGAUGGAUGUAGUCCUCCAAGCCUGCGCUGGUCCAUACUAGAAGCCUUGCAGCCUCCCAGCAGCUGUGUGUCUGACACUGGGACCAUGAUGGGAAUUCCACCCAGAGCAGCUUCUCCACUCCUGAGCAGACCCAGGUGUGGUGGAGAGCUUCUGAGCAGCUUCCAUCUGAAUGACAGGACAAGCUCUAUGAACUGAUCCAGGUGAAAACAUUCUAAAUAGUAAUAUUGUACUCUGUUUCCUGGCUUUUUCCUUACAUCUCAGCCUGGCUGGUCACCACUGGAGAGGAGUAGCUUCCCAGACUCACACUAGCAUCCCAUUUUACCUCAGGGCCUCCUGAUCUUCUAACAGAAAAACCUGUAGCUCCAUCCUCACUCCACUCUCCACAUGUUUCUCAUCAUCUCUGGAAACUACCUCCCACAACACUUUGAUGUUGUACAUAAUUUUUUUCUUUCAGGCUAAAUGAACCCAAGAACUCUGCUGUCAGACUGACUGUUGUAGCUACAAAUGGUCCAGACUAACAUGAAGCCUUGCAGGUGUAGUAAAGCUUAUUGCUACACGUGUGUUGCUGCUGUGAGCUUGGAGCUAGAUUACAUCAUGACAUCAUGAAGGAGACUACUGAUUCUGGUCCUGUGACACUUGGUGACGUGUGAGCUGAUUUGCCUGGUUUACAACUUUUACAUUAAAUAUUUUGGAUUUUUUUUUUCUAUCAAAAGUAAAUUAACUAAUAACCUGCAUUAUUGUAGGACACUCAGCAAAAUAUGGACUCUACACCAUGAGGCAUGCACACGUUAAUACUCUAGAAGAGCACAUAAGGUGAGCAACACCACAUAUUAUUAUUAUUGUUAUUAUUGUACACUGUCCUGGAUUUGCUUUCUUUCUGCAUCUCAUCAUUAGCCUGGCUGAUCACCUGAUAACCCCUGUCAUCUGGUCAUGACAGCAUGAGGAUGUCCUCACACACCUGUAACCUAUCAGCUCAUCUGGCAGAAUAGAGAGAGACAACACCACAUCUCCUGUUCCUGGAAAGCCUUCAGCCAUCCUUCGAUGACUGAGAACCUCCAUCCAGCUCUGUCUCCUGUCUGCCAGCAGUUAUUAUAAUAAAUAUUGUGUUUGACAAGUUC